UGUUCAUGUUGUGGGUCUUAUUGUCCAUGUUGUGGGUCUUAUUGUUCAUGUUGUGGGUCUUAUUGUUGUUCAUGUUGUGGGUCUUAUUGUUCAUGUUGUGGGUCUCAUUGUUGUUCAUGUUGUGGGUCUUAUUGUCCAUGUUGUGGGUCUUAUUGUUGUUCAUGUUGUGGGUCUCAUUGUUGUUCAUGUUGUGUUCGUGUUGUGGGUCUUAUUGUCCAUGUUGUGGGUCUUAUUGUUCAUGUUCUGGGUCUUAUUGUUCAUGUUGUGGGUCUUAUUGUUCAUGUUGUGGGUCUUAUUGUUGUUCAUGUUGUGGGUCUUAUUGUUGUUCAUGUUGUGUUCAUGUUGUGGGUCUUAUUGUUGUUCAUGUUGUGUUCAUGUUGUGGGUCUUAUUAUUGUUCAUGUUGUGGGUCUUAUUGUUCAUGUUGUGGGUCUUAUUGUUCAUGUUGUGGGUCUUAUUGUUGUUCAUGUUGUGGGUCUUAUUGUUCAUGUUGUGGGUCUCAUUGUUGUUCAUGUUGUGGGUCUUAUUGUUGUUCAUGUUGUGUCCAUGUUGUGGGUCUUAUUAUUGUUCAUGUUGUGGGUCUUAUUAUUGUUCAUGUUGUGGGUCUCAUUGUUGUUCAUGUUGUGGGUCUUAUUAUUGUUCAUGUUGUGGGUCUCAUUGUUGUUCAUGUUGUGGGUCUUAUUGUUCAUGUUGUGGGUCUUAUUGUUGUUCAUGUUGUGGGUCUUAUUGUUCAUGUUGUGGGUCUUAUUGUUCAUGUUGUGGGUCUUAUUGUUCAUGUUGUGGGUCUCAUUGUUGUUCAUGUUGUGGGUCUUAUUGUCCAUGUUGUGGGUCUUAUUGUUGUUCAUGUUGUGGGUCUCAUUGUUGUUCAUGUUGUGUUCGUGUUGUGGGUCUUAUUGUCCAUGUUGUGGGUCUUAUUGUUCAUGUUCUGGGUCUUAUUGUUCAUGUUGUGGGUCUUAUUGUUGUUCAUGUUGUGGGUCUUAUUGUUGUUCAUGUUGUGUUCAUGUUGUGGGUCUUAUUGUUGUUCAUGUUGUGUUCAUGUUGUGGGUCUUAUUAUUGUUCAUGUUGUGGGUCUUAUUGUUCAUGUUGUGGGUCUUAUUGUUCAUGUUGUGGGUCUUAUUGUUGUUCAUGUUGUGGGUCUUAUUGUUCAUGUUGUGGGUCUCAUUGUUGUUCAUGUUGUGGGUCUUAUUGUUGUUCAUGUUGUGUCCAUGUUGUGGGUCUUAUUAUUGUUCAUGUUGUGGGUCUCAUUGUUGUUCAUGUUGUGGGUCUUAUUAUUGUUCAUGUUGUGGGUCUCAUUGUUGUUCAUGUUGUGGGUCUUAUUGUCCAUGUUGUGGGUCUUAUUAUUGUUCAUGUUGUGGGUCUCAUUGUUGUUCAUGUUGUGGGUCUUAUUGUUCAUGUUGUGGGUCUUAUUGUUGUUCAUGUUGUGGGUCUUAUUGUUCAUGUUGUGGGUCUUAUUGUUCAUGUUGUGGGUCUUAUUGUUCAUGUUGUGGGUCUCAUUGUUGUUCAUGUUGUGUUCAUGUUGUGGGUCUUAUUAUCAGGAAACGCACAGCAGAGAAUCAGAGAGUUGAAGAACAAAAGCAUGAGGACGUCUACAGCAGCAUCCUGCUGCCUGCGGAUCCACAGGGACAGAAGGCAGGUGGCGCUGUGGAGGAUGUCAGCUACGCCUCGGUCCAGUUCAGACAGCAGAAACAUGGCAGCAGGUAGGAUGGACAGCUCGGCCAGCUGUCACUGACACAUGACUGAUGAAUUGGAUGGAUGCAUGUGUUUGUGGCACAGACUCCUUCACUGUCACCUACCUGUGUU
Long non-coding RNA from Parambassis ranga (Indian glassy fish), 1798 nucleotides. NCBI's taxonomy places the organism in Eukaryota, Metazoa, Chordata, Actinopteri, Ambassidae. The record is from Ensembl.